GCAGACGUGGCGCAGUCGGUAGCGCGCAACGCUUCCACCGUUGAGGUCGAGGGUUCGAUCCCCUCCGUCUGCUCCA
Molecule: transfer RNA, 76 nt
Filed under: Inhella proteolytica
Lineage: Bacteria; Pseudomonadati; Pseudomonadota; Betaproteobacteria; Burkholderiales; Sphaerotilaceae
Description: Inhella sp. 1Y17 tRNA-Gly
Rfam family: tRNA
About the family: Transfer RNA (tRNA) molecules are approximately 80 nucleotides in length. Their secondary structure includes four short double-helical elements and three loops (D, anti-codon, and T loops).
Source: RNAcentral